GGACAGAGCAGUGCUGUGAGGAGCCCCCACACAGCCAGCUCAUUCCUUGCUGACCCAGAGCUUUUCCGAGGCAUUACUCCUGCGGCUGGUCUCACGGCCAGACCUCGGGACUCACUGACUUGGAGCUUUUCCAAGGAAUCUCCCAUCCCUGCGGCCGGUGCCUUCGUGGCCAGGCUGUGGGACUUGGUGACAUCCAUCGUUCACGACGAGUCUCCUGUCAUUGUGGCAGGAGCCCUCGGGAACACAGUGCAGGACUUGCUGUCCUGUAGUCUUUCUGAGGCCUCUCUGUUGCAGGUGCCUGCAAGGCGUGACUGCGGCAUCGCUGACUUGGACCUUUGCCAAGGCGUCUGUCUCGAAGGUGUCCUCAAGGUCGGACAGCAGGAUGGCGAAGAAAAAGAACGGCCCUGCAGCUGCCCCAGCUCAGAAGCCUGCAGAACCAGAGCAGUUGCAGCCACUGCAGGAUGAUGCAGCCAAGGACCAGACUCAAGAGCAGGACCCCACCCGCGGCCGCUUCCGCAGAGCAGUGCAGGCACUGCGGAGGUUCCUGCGCAUUUGGCGCAGAAAGACCAGAGCCAGCGUGACCAAGGG
Molecule: long non-coding RNA, 588 nt
Organism: Passer domesticus (house sparrow)
Lineage: Eukaryota; Metazoa; Chordata; Aves; Passeriformes; Passeridae
Exons: 3
Source: RefSeq, a predicted model, not a curated record